AUUGAACGCUGGCGGCAUGCUUUACACAUGCAAGUCGAACGGCAGCGCGGGCUUCGGCCUGGCGGCGAGUGGCGAACGGGUGAGUAAUACAUCGGAACGUGCCCAGUAGUGGGGGAUAGCUCGGCGAAGGCCGGAUUAAUACCGCAUACGACCUGAGGGUGAAAGCGGGGGAUCUUCGGACCUCGCGCUAUUGGAGCGGCCGAUGGCAGAUUAGCUAGUUGGUGGGGUAAAGGCCUACCAAGGCGACGAUCUGUAGCUGGUCUGAGAGGACGACCAGCCACACUGGAACUGAGACACGGCCCAGACUCCUACGGGAGGCAGCAGUGGGGAAUUUUGGACAAUGGGCGAAAGCCUGAUCCAGCAAUGCCGCGUGUGUGAUGAAGGCCUUCGGGUUGUAAAGCACUUUUGGCGGGAACGAAAAGGACUGUGCCAAUACCACGGUUCGAUGACGGUACCCGCAGAAUAAGCACCGGCUAACUACGUG
This 484-nucleotide ribosomal RNA is filed under the name uncultured bacterium. RNAcentral describes it as "partial 16S ribosomal RNA". It matches the Rfam family "Bacterial small subunit ribosomal RNA", at positions 29 to 507 of the family's 1533-position model. The record is from RNAcentral.